UCCCUCUCAGGGUCGCAACUGGAGAGUUUCCAGUCCUCUACCAGUCUCGGCUAUGGGAGGGGGAGCCAAGCAGAGGCAUUCCCAUUCCAGUCCUAGCUUGGGCAGUGGCUAGCGAGUGGAAGGCAAUCUGCUCACCC
Molecule: small nucleolar RNA, 137 nt
Filed under: Ornithorhynchus anatinus (platypus)
Lineage: Eukaryota; Metazoa; Chordata; Mammalia; Monotremata; Ornithorhynchidae
Source: RNAcentral